AACGCAUAUUGCGCCCUCUGGUAUUCCGGGGGGCAUGCCUGUCCGAGCGUCAUUACAACCUUCAAGCACGGCUUGUCUGUUGAGCGUUCUGUUCUUCACGAACAGGGCUCGAAAUGCAGUGGCGAUGGCGAGACUGUGCCCGAGCGUAUGGGGCUUUGUCGCACGCUCUGGUGGCUUCAGCUUGCAUUCUGCCGAAACUGUGUAUAUAUUAAUUAUAUACACACUGAAUCCAAAUCUGAUUGACCUCGGAUCAGGUAGGGAAACCCGCUGAACUUAA
Molecule: unclassified non-coding RNA, 277 nt
Filed under: uncultured soil eukaryote
Lineage: Eukaryota
Description: sequence contains 5.8S rRNA gene, ITS2, 28S rRNA gene
Rfam family: 5.8S ribosomal RNA (bases 1-52)
Source: RNAcentral